CCUACGGGCGGCAGCAGUGAGGAAUAUUGGUCAAUGGGCGCGAGCCUGAACCAGCCAAGUAGCGUGAAGGAUGAAUGCCCUACGGGUUGUAAACUUCUUUUAUAAAGGAAUAAAGUGAGGCACGUGUGCCUUUUUGUAUGUACUUUAUGAAUAAGGAUCGGCUAACUCCGUGCCAGCAGCCGCGGUAAUACGGUGGAUCCGAGCGUUAUCCGGAUUUAUUGGGUUUAAAGGGAGCGUAGAUGGGUUGUUAAGUCAGUUGUGAAAGUUUGCGGCUCAACCGUAAAAUUGCAAUUGAUACUGGCAGCCUUGAGUACAGUAGAGGUAGGCGGAAUUCGUGGUGUAGCGGUGAAGUGCAGAUAUCACGAAGAACUCCGAUUGCGAAGGCAGCUUACUAAACUGCCACUGACAUUGAUGCUCGAAAGUGUGGGUAUCAAACAGGAUUAGAUACCCGAGUAGUC
RNAcentral lists this ribosomal RNA (458 nucleotides) under uncultured bacterium. Its description in RNAcentral is "partial 16S ribosomal RNA". It matches the Rfam family "Bacterial small subunit ribosomal RNA", at positions 338 to 795 of the family's 1533-position model. The record is from RNAcentral.